RNAcentral lists this long non-coding RNA (1002 nucleotides) under Heterocephalus glaber (naked mole-rat). Its description in RNAcentral is "lncRNA (ENSHGLG00100035458.1)". The record is from RNAcentral. Lineage: Eukaryota; Metazoa; Chordata; Mammalia; Rodentia; Bathyergidae.
AGUUCCCGUCUAAGUUUUCCUUCAAAAGUGUGAAUCACUUUCAAGGUCUAGGGUUAUUAGGACUUAGAAUCUCUGAUUUAAAAAGUGAAGUUUAAUCUUCAAUCAAGUGCAGGGAAAGGGAGUGAGGUUGGCAGUCUUCUCCGUAGAACCUGCUUGUGACCAAUAUUUACUACGGCAACGCUCUGUUCUUAGAAACUUCUAUGAUGACGUUUGGGUGGGGUGGCCACAUCACAAGGCUUUGGGGUGACUGACAUCCAUGGACUGAGAAGCACGGUUAUCUCAUGGUGACGCACGCCUAUGAAGUGUGCCAUUACUUUGGGGAUUUUUAGCUUGUAGAAUAUUUUUCUUGUAGAUGAAGCAUCAGACACAUUUUUGUUCGAAAGAAGAGAAACAGUGAAAGUUGUGUCUGCUGCGAGGUCUGAGGGCCCCGGUAGCCCCAGGCCUCUGAGCUGGGGACUCAUUUAUCCCUGAGCAUCUCACGGGUGCCAUGAGUCCUGCUUUUUGGUCUGUGCCAGGGUCUUCUGGUAUCUGUGGCACGAAAGGCGUCCUUCCUUGGACCCAGGAAUCAGUGCAAUUCAUGCUGCAGCGCAUGGUGACACUGCAGGGUUUGAAAGAGGCGGGGACGGGGGCCAGAUCUGGUCGUGACGGAGCACGAGGAGUGAGGGACAGAGGCCUGAAGAAAAUGACUAGGGCAGCCCUAGCAGAGCUCUGAGGCUGGAUCUGCACGCCAAGCAGUCGGGAACCCAGCUGGGGAUGUGGAAAAGGUGCGGUGCGUGACUAGAGCCAGGCCCGUUCCCUGGGUGCCGAGCCAGGCUGUGCUCACUCUGAGCCCACAAACGCCAUGUUCUGUGCUGCAGAAGCAGAGACCGCAUGUCAUAGAUGCUCUGAGGGUCCAGUCCCGGGGCCCUUGGGUAACUUCCAUGACUCCCUCCCCACCUGGGGCCUGGGUCUUGGGAUAGGUUCCUUCUACUGUGUAACAGAUUACCCCAAACAUCAGGCAGC